This is a long non-coding RNA of Brienomyrus brachyistius, 1369 nucleotides long. RefSeq lists it as uncharacterized. Lineage: Eukaryota; Metazoa; Chordata; Actinopteri; Osteoglossiformes; Mormyridae. The record is from RefSeq and is a predicted model, not a curated record. The transcript is spliced from 4 exons.
GCCCUUUCUGGAUAAUCUACAUCUACUCCUGUUCUACACCAUAUUGGUGUGAAACUACGGUCUACAAUAUAUCUGUGGUGUACAAUAUAUUGAAGCACACACUGACAGCAUGGACCCUCUACUGGAAAACCUGCCCCGCAGGAAUGUGAAAUUGUGAUUUUCCAGCGUAUUGGCCAGUUUGUGUUUCCUGGGCACCUGAUUGCCUGCAGGAUGUCCAUCUUCAGAGGUUGAUGGAACAGUCUGCAGCCCAUGUCUGGCUGGUGAUGGAAGGACGACGGAACUCCAGGCCCACGAUUAGAUGACUUUGCCCAGGGCUACGUCUGCAGUCCACAAGGACUCUGCCGCAGAAGACUGCGGGGGUGGACACACCUCACAAGUCACAGUGAAAGGGACACAUCAGGUGUGACGUUGAUGAGAAUAAGCACCGCACCGGGGAGACAGGAGCGGAACUGGGUAACGUUCGUGCAGUAUUUUCGUGGCCUUGUGCUUUUCUUAACAUGCUGGGCCUGUUUGGCAUUAGUGUCUCUGAACAGGCUGAAUGUGUCUAAGGGGGAAAGGGAAUGUCUCCUGUACAUCCACAUUCCCUUCUUCUUAGUUACUGCUAUCCAUGCAAUAUGUCUCCUGUGUUUGUAUGUGUUCUUUGCCGUCUUGCACAAGAGCACGGAGAAUGACAGAAAUGCAGUUUUUAUCCCAUCUCAUUGCUUUACUCAUUUUCCAUCCAGUACUCGCUUCCCGUGGGAGAGCUGUGAUAGAUGAAAGAGUCUGGUUUUCCACACAAAGGUUCAUUAUUAACUUACUAUGAUUUCGCUUAAUGCUUUUCCAUUUAGCUUGAUGCAAAUAUAGAAUACAUUAUGUAUAGAACUCUAAUCUGGAGUAAAUCUUCAGUGAAAGUAAUUAUUUUGUAUUUCAGCAUCCGUAUUACGUCUCACACAAAGCUGUAAUGUUGGUCAUACCUAGACGUAGAAACAGGACGGUCACUCUGACUGAUGUAGAGUGCACCAUGUUAACAAGCAUGCGAAGAAUUAUUAUUAUUACAGUUAUUCAGAAACCUGUUAUGUAAGAUGUCAUUCUUUGGUAAAAUUGUAGUUUAUGAAGGAUUACUUUUCAAAUAUUUGCUGUGCCUACGGAAAUUUCGGGACAAAAUCUUAUGAAUUCUAUGUAUAAACAAUUGAGAAAAAACAGUAAAAACAGGUAAACGAUGUAUAUUCAUUAAAAUGUCUGCUAUUAAUUUUAAUUAUUUGCAUCCUCCUUACUGAACACUAUCCUUUAUUUCAUAGCCUGAAAAACACAAUAUUCUUCUUUGUAUAACAUUUUGUUAAUAAUACAUUGUCUCAUUAUACACAAACUCCUUUUAUACACAAAUUAAUAA